Long non-coding RNA from Drosophila elegans, 912 nucleotides. RefSeq lists it as uncharacterized. Lineage: Eukaryota; Metazoa; Arthropoda; Insecta; Diptera; Drosophilidae. The transcript is spliced from 2 exons. The record is from RefSeq and is a predicted model, not a curated record.
CUACCCAAGACUAAAAAAAUACCACGACAUAUACAAAAUUAUAAUUGAAUAUCUCGAAAAAAUUAAGAUAAGCAUUUGAAUAACCAACCAGUAACCAAACCAAUAGAUUGGCGAUUUCCAAGUACGCGAGGGCGGACAAUUAACUCCACGGCACUUACGGGCUUUGCGGAAACUUAAACCACAAUUGGACGAAAUUGGUGGCUUUGGUGUCAUUGCCACAUCGCACCCAACCUUCCUUGGGUGCCCCACGGGUAAUGUUGGAGGCACACCCCAUCUCCGGCAGACCGAAGUCUAUUCCUUGUGGAUUAUGAUCGACUCAUCUCCCCGCCCAAUACAGACAUAGUUAGACGCGCGGCUAGGGCGCGGAAUUAAGCUUCUAAUUCCAGAUUAGAAUUUACAAGUUGAACGUUUGGUCAUGGUCGACGCUGCAGCAAAAAGGGAGAGACUGCUUGCGGCGAUUACCAGCACGAGUACGGUACCUAAUAGUCCGGAGGAAGCUCAACCUUUGGCCAGAAGGGACCGGAUGCAUUGCGUCGGUGGUCCCAGGGAUGACUACGUACCCAGCGCGGGUAUUCGUUCCCGGUACGGACUCAUCGAGGGAAUCACCGUAUGUGGUCGUCACGGAAACAAUUGCUGGAGGCGUUGAUGCCGCUGCUGAUCUCUGCAGCUGCUGCUGCUGAUGUUGCUGCGGAUCGCUGCUGAAUGCUGCUGCGGAUCGCUUCUGAUGCUGCUGCGGAUCGCUGCUGACGGUCAGGUGCAGCCUACUUAUCGUCUAAGGACGACGUGGUCUCCACGACUAGGUUAGGUCUGCCAGUUAAGUGUCUUCUGUUCACGAGUUUCUAAAAUUAGAUAGGGUUCCUAGUGCUUGAACUUACCUAUGCACAAAUAACAAAUUUUAAGUACUCCUUUUUU